Molecule: ribosomal RNA, 465 nt
Filed under: Vreelandella stevensii
Lineage: Bacteria; Pseudomonadati; Pseudomonadota; Gammaproteobacteria; Oceanospirillales; Halomonadaceae
Description: partial 16S ribosomal RNA
Rfam family: Bacterial small subunit ribosomal RNA
Source: RNAcentral
CCUACGGGUGGCUGCAGUGGGGAAUAUUGGACAAUGGGCGAAAGCCUGAUCCAGCCAUGCCGCGUGUGUGAAGAAGGCCUUCGGGUUGUAAAGCACUUUCAGUGGGGAAGAAAGCCUUGGGGCUAAUACCCUCGAGGAAGGACAUCACCCACAGAAGAAGCACCGGCUAACUCCGUGCCAGCAGCCGCGGUAAUACGGAGGGUGCGAGCGUUAAUCGGAAUUACUGGGCGUAAAGCGCGAGUAGGCGGUCUGAUAAGCCGGUUGUGAAAGCCCCGGGCUCAACCUGGGAACGGCAUCCGGAACUGUCAGGCUAGAGUGCAGGAGAGGAAGGUAGAAUUCCCGGUGUAGCGGUGAAAUGCGUAGAGAUCGGGAGGAAUACCAGUGGCGAAGGCGGUCUUCUGGACUGACACUGACGCUGAGGUGCGAAAGCGUGGGUAGCAAACAGGAUUAGAUACCCGAGUAGUC